AACGAACGCUGGCGGCAGGCCUAACACAUGCAAGUCGAGCGCGCCCUUCGGGGUGAGCGGCGGACGGGUGAGUAACGCGUGGGAACGUGCCCUUUUCUACGGAAUAGCCUCGGGAAACUGAGAGUAAUACCGUAUACGCCCUUUGGGGGAAAGAUUUAUCGGAAAAGGAUAGGCCCGCGUUGGAUUAGGUAGUUGGUGGGGUAAUGGCCUACCAAGCCGACGAUCCAUAGCUGGUUUGAGAGGAUGAUCAGCCACACUGGGACUGAGACACGGCCCAGACUCCUACGGGAGGCAGCAGUGGGGAAUCUUAGACAAUGGGGGCAACCCUGAUCUAGCCAUGCCGCGUGAGUGAUGAAGGCCUUAGGGUUGUAAAGCUCUUUCAGCUGGGAAGAUAAUGACGGUACCAGCAGAAGAAGCCCCGGCUAACUCCGUG
This 433-nucleotide ribosomal RNA is filed under the name uncultured bacterium. RNAcentral's name for it is "partial 16S ribosomal RNA". It matches the Rfam family "Bacterial small subunit ribosomal RNA", at positions 29 to 507 of the family's 1533-position model. The record is from RNAcentral.